UAUGAAUUCCUUUCUGCUUCUUUGGCCAGAGUAGUUACCUGCUGGCUAGGGAUUACAACAGUGUCGUCAAUCAUGGCACUGUCCCUCAGGUAGGAGGCAUGGCUCAGUGUGUGAGACCUGUCUGAACUGAAGGAUCGCAGGCUGUCAGAUCGCCCUCCUUCCAAGCUGUACCUCAGGUAGUUCAUACCAUCUAAGAACUGGCUGCUUGGUAAAGAGUCAUCUCCUAGUUCUUUGAGGUCUUCUGGCCUAAGGUACUCUCCUCCAUCUCCUGUCAUUGUAUCAUCACUCCACGAAUUUCUGCUAAUGACACCUGUGCCAUUAUAUACUUCCC
RNAcentral lists this long non-coding RNA (331 nucleotides) under Gallus gallus (chicken). The record is from RNAcentral. Lineage: Eukaryota; Metazoa; Chordata; Aves; Galliformes; Phasianidae.